RNAcentral lists this ribosomal RNA (544 nucleotides) under uncultured archaeon. RNAcentral describes it as "bacterial SSU rRNA". It matches the Rfam family "Archaeal small subunit ribosomal RNA", at positions 330 to 879 of the family's 1478-position model. The record is from RNAcentral.
GUGCAGCAGGCGCGAAACCUCCGCAAUGCGGGAAACCGUGACGGGGCCACCCCGAGUGCCCCCUUACGGGGGCUUUUCCCCGCUGUAGGAAGGCGGGGGAAUAAGCGGGGGGCAAGUCUGGUGUCAGCCGCCGCGGUAAUACCAGCCCCGCGAGUGGUCGGGACGAUUAUUGGGCCUAAAGCGCCCGUAGCCGGCCCGGCAAGUCCCCUCCUAAAUUCCCGGGCUCAACCCGGGGACUGGAGGGGAUACUGCCGGGCUAGGGGGUGGGAGAGGCCGAGGGUACUCCCGGGGUAGGGGCGAAAUCCUAUAAUCCCGGGAGGACCACCAGUGGCGAAGGCGCUCGGCUGGAACACGCCCGACGGUGAGGGGCGAAAGCCGGGGGAGCGAACCGGAUUAGAUACCCGGGUAGCCCCGGCUGUAAACGAUGCGGGCUAGGUGUUGGGUGGGCUUAGAGCCCACCCAGUGCCGCAGGGAAGCCGUUAAGCCCGCCGCCUGGGGAGUACGGCCGCAAGGCUGAAACUCAAAGGAAUUGGCGGGGGAGCAC